This 245-nucleotide ribosomal RNA is filed under the name uncultured bacterium. RNAcentral's name for it is "partial small subunit ribosomal RNA". It matches the Rfam family "Bacterial small subunit ribosomal RNA", at positions 26 to 285 of the family's 1533-position model. The record is from RNAcentral.
AGAAUCAACGCUGGCGGCGUGCCUAACACAUGCAAGUCGAACGAGAAAGUGGAGCAAUCCAUGAGUACAGUGGCGCACGGGUGAGUAACACGUGAAUAAUCUACCUCCGAGUGGGGAAUAACUUCGGGAAACCGAGGCUAAUACCGCAUAACACUUACGAGUCAAAGCAGCAAUGUGCUUGGAGAGGAGUUCGCGGCCGAUUAGCUAGUUGGCGGGGUAAUGGCCCACCAAGGCGAUGAUCGGUA